AGGCAAAUCCGGAAAACUAAGGCUGAGGCGUGAUGACGAGGCACUACGGUGCUGAAGCAACAAAUGCCCUGCUUCCAGGAAAAGCCUCUAAGCAUCAGGUAACAUCAAAUCGUACCCCAAACCGACACAGGUGGUCAGGUAGAGAAUACCAAGGCGCUUGAGAGAACUCGGGUGAAGGAACUAGGCAAAAUGGUGCCGUAACUUCGGGAGAAGGCACGCUGAUAUGUAGGUGAAGUCCCUCGCGGAUGGAGCUGAAAUCAGUCGAAGAUACCAGCUGGCUGCAACUGUUUAUUAAAAACACAGCACUGUGCAAACACGAAAGUGGACGUAUACGGUGUGACGCCUGCCCGGUGCCGGAAGGUUAAUUGAUGGGGUCAGCGCAAGCGAAGCUCUUGAUCGAAGCCCCGGUAAACGGCGGCCGUAACUAUAACGGUCCUAAGGUAGCGAAAUUCCUUGUCGGGUAAGUUCCGACCUGCACGAAUGGCGUAAUGAUGGCCAGGCUGUCUCCACCCGAGACUCAGUGAAAUUGAACUCGCUGUGAAGAUGCAGUGUACCCGCGGCAAGACGGAAAGACCCCGUGAACCUUUACUAUAGCUUGACACUGAACAUUGAGCCUUGAUGUGUAGGAUAGGUGGGAGGCUUUGAAGUGUGGACGCCAGUCUGCAUGGAGCCGACCUUGAAAUACCACCCUUUAAUGUUUGAUGUUCUAACGUUGACCCGUAAUCCGGGUUGCGGACAGUGUCUGGUGGGUAGUUUGACUGGGGCGGUCUCCUCCUAAAGAGUAACGGAGGAGCACGAAGGUUGGCUAAUCCUGGUCGGACAUCAGGAGGUUAGUGCAAUGGCAUAAGCCAGCUUGACUGCGAGCGUGACGGCGCGAGCAGGUGCGAAAGCAGGUCAUAGUGAUCCGGUGGUUCUGAAUGGAAGGGCCAUCGCUCAACGGAUAAAAGGUACUCCGGGGAUAACAGGCUGAUACCGCCCAAGAGUUCAUAUCGACGGCGGUGUUUGGCACCUCGAUGUCGGCUCAUCACAUCCUGGGGCUGAAGUAGGUCCCAAGGGUAUGGCUGUUCGCCAUUUAAAGUGGUACGCGAGCUGGGUUUAGAACGUCGUGAGACAGUUCGGUCCCUAUCUGCCGUGGGCGCUGGAGAACUGAGGGGGGCUGCUCCUAGUACGAGAGGACCGGAGUGGACGCAUCACUGGUGUUCGGGUUGUCAUGCCAAUGGCACUGCCCGGUAGCUAAAUGCGGAAGAGAUAAGUGCUGAAAGCAUCUAAGCACGAAACUUGCCCCGAGAUGAGUUCUCCCUGACUCCUUGAGAGUCCUGAAGGAACGUUGAAGACGACGACGUUGAUAGGCCGGGUGUGUAAGCGCAGCGAUGCGUUGAGCUAACCGGUACUAAUGAACCGUGAGGCUUAACCUU
Molecule: ribosomal RNA, 1415 nt
Filed under: Escherichia coli
Lineage: Bacteria; Pseudomonadati; Pseudomonadota; Gammaproteobacteria; Enterobacterales; Enterobacteriaceae
Description: bacterial LSU rRNA
Rfam family: Bacterial large subunit ribosomal RNA
Source: RNAcentral